This is a microRNA precursor of Oreochromis aureus, 60 nucleotides long. NCBI's taxonomy places the organism in Eukaryota, Metazoa, Chordata, Actinopteri, Cichliformes, Cichlidae. The record is from Ensembl.
UUAAAUAAUGAGACGUCACGCCGGUUUGACUCACAGAGGCUCUGUUUUGUUGUUUAACAG